This 496-nucleotide ribosomal RNA is filed under the name uncultured bacterium. Its description in RNAcentral is "partial 16S ribosomal RNA". It matches the Rfam family "Bacterial small subunit ribosomal RNA", at positions 29 to 507 of the family's 1533-position model. The record is from RNAcentral.
AUGAACGCUGGCGGCGUGCCUCAUACAUGCCAGUCGAGCGCACAGACGAGGAGCUUGCUCCUUUGACGUUAGCGGCGGACGGGUGAGUAACACGUGGGUAACCUACCUAUAAGACUGGGAUAACUUCGGGAAACCGGAGCUAAUACCGGAUAAUAUUUCGAACCGCAUGGUUCGAUAGUGAAAGAUGGCUUUGCUAUCACUUAUAGAUGGACCUGCGCCGUAUUAGCUAGUUGGUAAGGUAACGGCUUACCAAGGCAACGAUACGUAGCCGACCUGAGAGGGUGAUCGGCCACACUGGAACUGAGACACGGUCCAGACUCCUACGGGAGGCAGCAGUAGGGAAUCUUCCGCAAUGGGCGAAAGCCUGACGGAGCAACGCCGCGUGAGUGAUGAAGGUCUUCGGAUCGUAAAACUCUGUUAUUAGGGAAGAAUAAACGUGUAAGUAACUGUGCACGUCUUGACGGUACCUAAUCAGAAAGCCACGGCUAACUACGUG